UACGGAGGGUGCGAGCGUUAAUCGGAAUUACUGGGCGUAAAGCGCGCGUAUGUGGUUUGGUAAGUCGGAUGGGAAAGCCCCGGGCUUAACCUGGGAACGGAAUUCGAUACUACCUGACUAGAGUAAGGUAGAGGAAAGCGGAAUUCCCGGUGUAGCGGUGAAAUGCGUAGAUAUCGGGAGGAACAUCAGUGGCGACGGCGGUUUUCUGGACCAAUACUGACGCUGAGUCGCGAAAGCUUUUGUAGCAAACAGG
Molecule: ribosomal RNA, 253 nt
Filed under: uncultured bacterium
Lineage: Bacteria
Description: partial 16S ribosomal RNA
Rfam family: Bacterial small subunit ribosomal RNA
Source: RNAcentral